UAUAAUGCAGUCGAGCGAAUCUUUGGGAGCUUGCUCCCAAAGAUUAGCGGCGGACGGGUGAGUAACACGUGGGCAACCUGCCUGUAAGACUGGGAUAACUCCGGGAAACCGGGGCUAAUACCGGAUAAUUCAUUUCCUCUCAUGAGGGAAUGCUGAAAGACGGUUUCGGCUGUCACUUACAGAUGGGCCCGCGGCGCAUUAGCUAGUUGGUGAGGUAACGGCUCACCAAGGCCACGAUGCGUAGCCGACCUGAGAGGGUGAUCGGCCACACUGGGACUGAGACACGGCCCAGACUCCUACGGGAGGCAGCAGUAGGGAAUCUUCCGCAAUGGACGAAAGUCUGACGGAGCAACGCCGCGUGAGCGAUGAAGGCCUUCGGGUCGUAAAGCUCUGUUGUUAGGGAAGAACAAGUACCGGAGUAACUGCCGGUACCUUGACGGUACCUAACCAGAAAGCCACGGCUAACUACGUGCCAGCAGCCGCGGUAAUACGUAGGUGGCAAGCGUUGUCCGGAAUUAUUGGGCGUAAAGCGCGCGCAGGCGGUCCUUUAAGUCUGAUGUGAAAGCCCACGGCUCAACCGUGGAGGGUCAUUGGAAACUGGGGGACUUGAGUGCAGAAGAGGAGAGUGGAAUUCCACGUGUAGCGGUGAAAUGCGUAGAGAUGUGGAGGAACACCAGUGGCGAAGGCGACUCUCUGGUCUGUAACUGACGCUGAGGCGCGAAAGCGUGGGGAGCGAACAGGAUUAGAUACCCUGGUAGUCCACGCCGUAAACGAUGAGUGCUAAGUGUUAGAGGGUUUCCGCCCUUUAGUGCUGCAGCAAACGCAUUAAGCACUCCGCCUGGGGAGUACGGCCGCAAGGC
This 860-nucleotide ribosomal RNA is filed under the name Neobacillus novalis. RNAcentral's name for it is "bacterial SSU rRNA". It matches the Rfam family "Bacterial small subunit ribosomal RNA", at positions 52 to 894 of the family's 1533-position model. Lineage: Bacteria; Bacillati; Bacillota; Bacilli; Caryophanales; Bacillaceae. The record is from RNAcentral.